GGGGCCGUAGUCUAGCCUGGUCUAGGACUCCUGAACAUGUGGAGUGUUCAGGACUGAAACCUGGCUUGGGCCCAGGAGGUCGCCGGUUCAAAUCCGGCCGGCCCCACCA
Molecule: transfer RNA, 109 nt
Filed under: Nitrososphaeria archaeon
Lineage: Archaea; Thermoproteati; Nitrososphaerota; Nitrososphaeria
Description: tRNA-OTHER
Rfam family: tRNA
About the family: Transfer RNA (tRNA) molecules are approximately 80 nucleotides in length. Their secondary structure includes four short double-helical elements and three loops (D, anti-codon, and T loops). Further hydrogen bonds mediate the characteristic L-shaped molecular structure. tRNAs have two regions of fundamental functional importance: the anti-codon, which is responsible for specific mRNA codon recognition, and the 3' end, to which the tRNAs corresponding amino acid is attached (by aminoacyl-tRNA synthetases). tRNAs cope with the degeneracy of the genetic code in two manners: having more than one tRNA (with a specific anti-codon) for a particular amino acid; and 'wobble' base-pairing, i.e. permitting non-standard base-pairing at the 3rd anti-codon position.
Source: RNAcentral